GCUGGCGGCACGCCUUAUACAUGCAAGUCGAACGAAGUAGCAAUACUUAGUGGCAGACGGGUGAGUAACAUGUGGGUAUCUUCCCUUUGGUGAGGAAUAACACGAGGAAACUUGUGCUAAUACCUCAUAAGUCUUUACGGAGAAAGCUUUAUGCGCCAAUGGAUGAGCCCGCACUUGAUUAGUUUGUUGGUGGGGUAAUGGCCUACCAAGACGGUGAUCAAUAGCUGAUCUGAGAGGAUGAUCAGCCACAUUGGGACUGAGACACGGCCCAAACUCCUACGGGAGGCAGCAGUAGGGAAUAUUGCACAAUGGAGGAAACUCUGAUGCAGCGAUGCCGCGUGAGUGAAGAAGGCCCUUGGGUUGUAAAGCUCUUUCGUCGGGGAAGAAAAUGACUGUACCCGAAUAAGAAGGUCCGGCUAACUUCGUGCCAGCAGCCGCGGUAAUACGAAGGGACCUAGCGUAGUUCGGAAUUACUGGGCUUAAAGAGUUCGUAGGUGGUUAAAAAAGUUGGUGGUGAAAUCCCAGAGCUUAACUCUGGAACUGCCAUCAAAACUUUUUAGCUAGAGUAUGAUAGAGGAAAGCAGAAUUUCUAGUGUAGAGGUGAAAUUCGUAGAUAUUAGAAAGAAUACCGAUUGCGAAGGCAGCUUUCUGGAUCAUUACUGACACUGAGGAACGAAAGCAUGGGUAGCGAAGAGGAUUAGAUACCCUCGUAGUCCAUGCCGUAAACGAUGUGUGUUAGACGUUGGAAAUUUAUUUUCAGUGUCGCAGCAAAAGCAGUAAACACACCGCCUGGGGAGUACGAC
RNAcentral lists this ribosomal RNA (803 nucleotides) under uncultured Pelagibacteraceae bacterium. Its description in RNAcentral is "bacterial SSU rRNA". It matches the Rfam family "Bacterial small subunit ribosomal RNA", at positions 35 to 886 of the family's 1533-position model. The record is from RNAcentral. Lineage: Bacteria; Pseudomonadati; Pseudomonadota; Alphaproteobacteria; Candidatus Pelagibacterales; Candidatus Pelagibacteraceae.